CACAGAACCAGUUGUUAAAAAAUUUGAAUCCCACCCCUGAUAUUAAGCAUAUGUUUACUCAGGUGGGGGGAGAAGGUAUUGAUCUGAGUAGUUUAAUAGGUUCAAUUUUUAGAUGACCCAAUUUUUCAAAAAGGAAAGAUGCAGUGAUUAAAUUGAAUAUGGA
This is a non-coding RNA of Notechis scutatus (mainland tiger snake), 163 nucleotides long. NCBI's taxonomy places the organism in Eukaryota, Metazoa, Chordata, Lepidosauria, Squamata, Elapidae. The record is from RefSeq and is a predicted model, not a curated record.